GUUAGCGGGGCGCUUCAAUACCAAGCGGGAUGGCGGCACACUUAAACGUCAAACGGGAGGGCAGCAUGCUUGCCUUUAGGUCAGUUCCUGGUCUGCCCCUGUGAGUAGAUUAUAGGGCGUGUCAAACGGUGGAGAGCAGGAGCUGUGGUGGUGCUUCUGGUGUGCCACCUCUGGAAACGCUGUACGGGCAGUGGAUAUCAGUUUGUGGCCAUUGCCUCUCAGCUGACUGCCACUGGAUGCCAAAAGGCUGCUGCUCUUCUUUACUGCCCCCUCCCCUCGACUGAUAAGAUUUCUCCCUUGAGCCUUCCUGAAUGAAAUUCAUUACAAAAAGAUCUUUGCUACCUUGAGGCCUCUCCUGUUCUCAUACCAAGAAGCCAUAGAAGAAUGGUUUCAUUGCCUCUGUCUCAUCUUGCUAGCACUCCUAGCUGAUUGCUGUAUCUCUCAUGCUGCCUUCUGCAUUGACCUGAGAAUAGCAUGGUAGAAAACUAAUUUGGCUGAGAAAGACUAAUUUCUUUCUGCUGGAGCAGUUCCACAAUCCUGGUUCUGCAUGUAGUAGCACAGGCAUCUGUACUGGCCCACAGCAGAGAAGGCAUAAGCUGAUAGUGGCAAGGGUAUUAUCAUAAGGAACAGAUACUUUGGUACUGCAACCUAGAGGUUGCUCACUGACCGUUGCUUCUGGGGUGUUAUCUCAGCAGCUCAGAAGAUGCACAGGUGAGAUGAACAAGAAAUGGCCGGGGAAGUGGAGAAGUUCCAGAAGGCUCUUCGUGAUCAGGAGUUGGAAGUCAAGAUUUCCUUGGCUAAAUGUAUGGCCAUUCUUGAGUGGUGCCAUCACGCCUAACACCAUGACUUUGUAUUUAAGAAGGUUGAUCUCAUCUUUGUGCCUUUGUGCUUGCAGAUGUUGAAUACAUUCUGCAGUGUUUUUCUUUGUUGCAUGUAGCCAAAGACAAAAAUUAAAGCUAAGAGUAGGCCAAACUUGGGCAAAAUGCUCAUUACAUUGGGUAGGAGGUCUGCCUAAAUAAAAGCAGGCCCGCACUUGAAAGUUUAGGAUCACUGGAGAUAUUUCCUGUUUUAUUUUGGCUGUAAGAGCAAAAAAUUAUUAAUAAAAGGAUUUUAUUAUUCAA
Molecule: long non-coding RNA, 1121 nt
Organism: Grus americana (Whooping crane)
Lineage: Eukaryota; Metazoa; Chordata; Aves; Gruiformes; Gruidae
Exons: 3
Source: RefSeq, a predicted model, not a curated record